This 253-nucleotide ribosomal RNA is filed under the name uncultured bacterium. RNAcentral's name for it is "partial 16S ribosomal RNA". It matches the Rfam family "Bacterial small subunit ribosomal RNA", at positions 524 to 776 of the family's 1533-position model. The record is from RNAcentral.
UACGUAGGGUGCAAGCGUUGUCCGGAAUUAUUGGGCGUAAAGAGCUCGUAGGCGGUCUGUUGCGUCGGCUGUGAAAACCCGGGGCUCAACUCCGGGCCUGCAGCCGAUACGGGCAGACUAGAGUUCGGCAGGGGAGACUGGAAUUCCUGGUGUAGCGGUGAAAUGCGCAGAUAUCAGGAGGAACACCGGUGGCGAAGGCGGGUCUCUGGGCCGAUACUGACGCUGAGGCACGAAAGCGUGGGGAGCAAACAGG